UACGUAGGGUGCUAGCGUUGUUCGGAAUCAUUGGGCGUAAAGCGCGUGUAGGUGGUUAAUAAAGUUGGAUGUGAAAUCCCUGGGCUCAACCGAGGAAGUGCAUUCAAAACUAAUUAGCUUGAGAGUGGUAGAGGAAGGUGGAAUUCCUAGUGUAGAGGUGAAAUUCGUAGAUAUUAGGAGGAAUACCGGAGGCGAAGGCGGCCUUCUGGGCCAUUUCUGACACUGAGACGCGAAAGCGUGGGUAGCAAACAGG
This 253-nucleotide ribosomal RNA is filed under the name uncultured bacterium. RNAcentral's name for it is "partial 16S ribosomal RNA". It matches the Rfam family "Bacterial small subunit ribosomal RNA", at positions 524 to 776 of the family's 1533-position model. The record is from RNAcentral.